UCAGCAUGGAGAUUGGUGUUCCAAAGGUC
Molecule: non-coding RNA, 29 nt
Filed under: Homo sapiens (human)
Lineage: Eukaryota; Metazoa; Chordata; Mammalia; Primates; Hominidae
Source: RNAcentral